RNAcentral lists this long non-coding RNA (293 nucleotides) under Salvia miltiorrhiza (redroot sage). RNAcentral's name for it is "long non-coding RNA (SMIL_LNC014189)". The record is from RNAcentral. Lineage: Eukaryota; Viridiplantae; Streptophyta; Magnoliopsida; Lamiales; Lamiaceae.
AGUAGAAGAAUAGGAUGUUCAUCAUUUCCAUUUUGUUGUUGGUUGUGUAGGCUUCAUUGUUGAAGUAAAGUAUUAGGUAUUUAGUGAUUGUUGUAGGUUAUGGCCAAACUAUUUUGGUACUAAUCAUGAAUGUUGAAAGCUAUUUUUUUUUUUAUUAUCUAUUUUGAGUCAUGGACAAGUUUGUGUGUUAUCUAUUGAUGUGUUGUUGGAUGUAUUGAUCUGAUCAUGAACAAGCAUAUCCUUAAACUCUUGUAUAUUGCAGUACAUGGAAAUAAACUAAGUAAUGAGAAAAC